Molecule: long non-coding RNA, 613 nt
Filed under: Olea europaea (common olive)
Lineage: Eukaryota; Viridiplantae; Streptophyta; Magnoliopsida; Lamiales; Oleaceae
Description: long non-coding RNA (OEUR_LNC010775)
Source: RNAcentral
CCUCCCUUUCUUCACCGAUAGCUCCUUGCUACCGUGUCGCCGGACAAAAACCAGAGUCCAGAAAUGUUUUUCCUCCUCGACUACCCACCCCACGCCCACAAAAAACCAAAACCCACCACCCUACAGCCACGUCCAAACACAAACUAAAAUCAUCAAAAUUAUAUUCUUUGCAAUUGGAAAAGAGUUGAAUUGAAAAAAGGAAAGUGGUGGAUGGCGAGGUAAGUGACGAUUAAGAGGUGAAUUUCAUUUGUAAUAGCAGCAAAAUAGUGGUGGAUUGUAAUGUUUCUAUGUCUAGCAAGAUAGAUAAAGCGGGUGGUUGAAUUUUUUGGGUUCGGAUUGUGGUUGAUUGCAAUGGCAGACGAUAGUGGUAGUGGAUUGUGGUUUGAAUUUUCUAUGUUUGGGCGGUUGAUUCUUGGAUAGCUGAUGGUGGUGAAUAUGUGGUGUUGUGUUACUUAUGUAGGUUGGCGGUCGACGAGGGAGGCCAGCAACAAGUUGAGUUUACCAGAGGUAUAGUGUAGUUGGGUGUCGAUCGAUGUUGGUUUAGGUCUAUCGAUUAUUUUGGUAGAGGACGUCCAUGGUGGCGACGUCGGAGUCUGGGUAUGAUAGUGGUGGU